This 35-nucleotide non-coding RNA is filed under the name Prorocentrum micans. Lineage: Eukaryota; Dinophyceae; Prorocentrales; Prorocentraceae. The record is from RNAcentral.
UUUUUUUUUUUUUUUUUUUUUUUUUUUUUUUCCUU